Molecule: ribosomal RNA, 502 nt
Filed under: uncultured bacterium
Lineage: Bacteria
Description: partial 16S ribosomal RNA
Rfam family: Bacterial small subunit ribosomal RNA
Source: RNAcentral
GAUGAACGCUGGCGGCGUGCCUAAUACAUGCAAGUCGAACGAAUCUUCUUCGGAAGAUGAGUGGCGAACGGGUGAGUAAUACAUAGGUAACCUGCCCCUGUGCGGGGGAUAACAGGAGGAAACUCCUGCUAAUACCGCAUAGCAAUGAGCACCGCAUCGAGCUCAUGCCAAAUAUCCUUUCGGGGAUAGCGCAGGGAUGGACCUAUGGCGCAUUAGCUGGUUGGCGGGGCAACGGCCCACCAAGGCAACGAUGCGUAGCCGGCCUGAGAGGGCGGACGGCCACAUUGGGACUGAGACACGGCCCAGACUCCUACGGGAGGCAGCAGUAGGGAAUUUUCGGCAAUGGGGGAAACCCUGACCGAGCAACGCCGCGUGAGCGAAGAAGGCCUUCGGGUCGUAAAGCUCUGUUGUAAAGGAAGAACGGCGCAUACAGGAAAUGGUAUGCGAGUGACGGUACUUUACCAGAAAGCCACGGCUAACUACGUGCCAGCCGCCGCCGUAA